Long non-coding RNA from Vombatus ursinus (common wombat), 537 nucleotides. RefSeq lists it as uncharacterized. NCBI's taxonomy places the organism in Eukaryota, Metazoa, Chordata, Mammalia, Diprotodontia, Vombatidae. The transcript has 3 exons. The record is from RefSeq and is a predicted model, not a curated record.
UAUUGACCCAGUUUUAAGAUGUAAAGUUAUCUAUGUGUACUUUGUUAAAUAUUUCCCAAUUAUUUAGUAUUCUAGUCAGCUGCACUCGCAUGUGUUUGACAUCUGUACCACAAGGUGGAGACAGGCUACUUCUCACCAUACGGUUCCAUUCAUAGACCCACUUCUUUUGGGCAUUCAUUCUCCAAUUACUGGACAGAUAUAUCCAGUCAUAUUUGGAUGGCCAUGGUGCUGCGUGGGUGAAUCUACCAAGCGCCAGGAACCAUGCCAGCAGAGGACAAAUUCUACCAAGUCUUACCAAAGAGGAAGCUUUCAGCACAGGUCCACUGAGGUACCGGAUGUAUGUCAUCCAAACAAACAUUAUCCUAGGCAAGUCUGGAGACAGAGACAGGGACUGAACUUGGGAUUUCACUGUUACGGGGAACUCCCAGUAUUUUUCUGUAGGGACAAAGGGAGAAGAAAGGAAUGUCAACAUUGUGCAUUGAUUACUGGGAGAAAUACCGAUGGAAUGAAAAACAGCAUCUGCAAAAAGUCUUGCAA